RNAcentral lists this ribosomal RNA (253 nucleotides) under uncultured bacterium. RNAcentral's name for it is "partial 16S ribosomal RNA". It matches the Rfam family "Bacterial small subunit ribosomal RNA", at positions 524 to 776 of the family's 1533-position model. The record is from RNAcentral.
UACGGAGGGUGCGAACGUUAAUCGGAAUCACUGGGCGUAAAGCGCGCGUAGGCGGUUUGUUAAGUGGGAUGUGAAAUCCCCGGGCUUAACCUGGGAAUUGCAUUUCAAACUGGCCGACUAGAGUACGGUAGAGGGAGGUAGAAUUUCCUGUGUAGCGGUGAAAUGCGCAGAUAUCGGGAGGAACACCGGUGGCGAAGGCGGUUCUCUGGGCCUGUACUGACGCUGAGGAGCGAAAGCGUGGGGAGCGAACAGG